RNAcentral lists this unclassified non-coding RNA (344 nucleotides) under soil metagenome. Its description in RNAcentral is "partial contains 5.8S ribosomal RNA, internal transcribed spacer 2, and large subunit ribosomal RNA". The stretch from base 1 to 120 matches the Rfam family "5.8S ribosomal RNA", at positions 35 to 154 of the family's 154-position model. The record is from RNAcentral.
GAUGAAGAACGUAGCGAAAUGCGAUAAGUAAUGUGAAUUGCAGAAUUCAGUGAAUCAUCGAGUCUUUGAACGCACAUUGCGCCCCCUGGUAUUCCGGGGGGCAUGCCUGUCCGAGCGUCAUUGCUGCCCUCAAGCACGGCUUGUGUGUUGGGCCUCCGUCCUCCUCCCGGGGGACGGGCCCGAAAGGCAGCGGCGGCACCGCGUCCGGUCCUCGAGCGUAUGGGGCUUCGUCACCCGCUCUUGUAGGCCCGGCCGGCGCUUGCCGACACAUCAAUCUUUUUUCCAGGUUGACCUCGGAUCAGGUAGGGAUACCCGCUGAACUUAAGCAUAUCAAUAACGGAGGA